AUGCUUAACUGAUUGAAUCACCCAGGCAUUUCUAAUAGUUGCCUUUUAAACCAUCAAUAUUGUUUUAGGUGUUGUUUGAUCUUUGGAUUAUGCUUUGGGGAGCCACGUUGUCUAGAUGGAUCUGUGUUAUUAUCCUUAGGGGAGGUUGGUGCUACUGUUGUUGCUAUUUUACAAAGAGACAGAAACCAAGUCAUGGAGAGUUUUGGUAACCUGUGGCAGGGCUGGUCUGCGAGUCCAAGCACGCAGCCUCAGAGCCCUUGCUGCCAAAUACAGGACUGUGUGUCCUGACACACAGCUGUGCAGGAUGCAAGUGAACCUGAAGGGAGCAGAUUAGGAUGGAAAACAUUCUAAUGGAUCAAGAAUUGUGAAUUUUGUCAAUUGCAACCUGUCAACUGCACCUUGACCAUCUCCUGGAUCUCAUCCUUCUACUUUGGACUGAAACAGAGAUAAGAUAGCAUCUGUUAGCUAAAUGGCCAAUUGUGGCUUAGGCAGUUCAGCUCUGUCAGCAUCAAUGUUAAUUCCUUCAAAACAAGUUAUAUAACCUUGUGGAUUUUGCCUGCACUUCUCACUUGCAAUUCAGAGCACACUUUCAAUUUUUGGUCUCUCUGUAUCUCCCAGAUUGCAAUCCU
Canis lupus familiaris (dog) is the source of this 629-nucleotide long non-coding RNA. RefSeq lists it as uncharacterized. Lineage: Eukaryota; Metazoa; Chordata; Mammalia; Carnivora; Canidae. The record is from RefSeq and is a predicted model, not a curated record. The transcript has 4 exons.